GACGUUACCUACAGAAGAAGCACCGGCUAACUCCGUGCCAGCAGCCGCGGUAAUACGGAGGGUGCGAGCGUUAAUCGGAAUUACUGGGCGUAAAGCGCAUGCAGGCGGCCUGUUAAGUCAGAUGUGAAAGACCCGGGGCGUUAACCUCGGAAUUGCAUUUGAAACUGGCAGGCUAGAGUCUUGUAGAGGGGGGUAGGAAUUUCAGGUGUAGCGGUGAAAUAGCGUAGAGAUCUGAAGGAAUACCAGUGGCGAAGGCGGCCCCCUCGGACAAAGACUGACGCUCAGAUGCGAAAGCGUGGGGAGCAAACAGGAUUAGAUACCCUGGUAG
This 328-nucleotide ribosomal RNA is filed under the name uncultured bacterium. RNAcentral describes it as "bacterial SSU rRNA". It matches the Rfam family "Bacterial small subunit ribosomal RNA", at positions 471 to 793 of the family's 1533-position model. The record is from RNAcentral.